This 1023-nucleotide long non-coding RNA is filed under the name Nicotiana tabacum (common tobacco). RNAcentral describes it as "long non-coding RNA (NTAB_LNC013608)". Lineage: Eukaryota; Viridiplantae; Streptophyta; Magnoliopsida; Solanales; Solanaceae. The record is from RNAcentral.
GCAAAGUAUACCAGUCAAGUAUAAUAAGCUGGAAGUUCAUACACAGAUGCGCCAAACUCCAGUAUAUUAUGCCGGACCGAUCUCUGUUGCAGCAAAAUAGUGGCUAUUUUUCAAUGACUUGGCAAACGCUGGCUAUUUUUAAUGACCAGUUCGAAAACUGGCUAGCCCGUGCUAUUUUUACAAAAUAUACUUAUCUAAAAAUUAAACCAAAACCAUAUUUAGAUAGCCCAUAUUUGUGUAUGUAUAUAGAAUUAUAGAUGGCCCAUAUUUGUGCAUGUAUAUAGUUCUAAUGGAAAAAUUAAACAUCAAGAUUCGGAUCUUUUAAAGACAUGAAAACGUAAAGGUAACUUCACCAUCUUCAGGCACUCAUUACAUAGUACCUAUACAAAGGUAAAGUUCCUAAAAAAGACAGUGAGAUAGUAAGUCUAUCAUGCAUUUACAUAACUCCAAUUUGGAGAAAACAAAACAAGACAAAAACUAAAUACUUCCAUGAUUAAGCAGAUUACUCUAACUUACUCCAUCACCAUUGACUUCCUAGUUUUUGAUAACAGAAAAAAUCCCCGAGGGCAGGUGGUGCAUGGUUUGAAACUUGGUGGAUAAUGAGGUCGCCCUUCUAGUCUUAUCCACUUAAGUCUAUCAUGCAUUUACAUAACUCCAAUUUGGAGAAAACAAAACAAGACAAAAACUAAAUACUUCCAUGAUUAAGCAGAUUACUCUAACUUACUCCAUCACCAUUGACUUCCUAGUUUUUGAUAACAGAAAAAAUCCCCGAGGGCCGGUGGUGCAUGGUUUGAAACUUGGUGGAUAAUGAGGUCGCCCUUCUAGUCUUAUCCACUUAAAUAUAAGGCUUUUACCUGUGGCAGGUUUGAAAAACAUGACAUGCGCCUAAUCUACACACCAUGUGCUACUCUCUUACCACUAGACCAAACAGUUAGGGGUUCAUCAUUGAUUACCUAUUUACAAGCUACUUUUUACCUUUGUCGUUAACAUUUUAACCUCCUCCGUUAGGCUUAUGGAAACUAG